UCCUCUUGAAUCAUGCAGGCAAACAGAGGGGUCACAUUGAUCUUGCUGAGUCUAAUGACAAGACUGGGGAGCCCAAAAGCUGUACUGACUCUGCAGCCUAACUGGCCCCUGUUCUUCACUGGA
Anguilla anguilla (European eel) is the source of this 123-nucleotide long non-coding RNA. RefSeq lists it as uncharacterized. The record is from RefSeq and is a predicted model, not a curated record. Lineage: Eukaryota; Metazoa; Chordata; Actinopteri; Anguilliformes; Anguillidae. The transcript is spliced from 3 exons.